This 28-nucleotide non-coding RNA is filed under the name Bombyx mori (domestic silkworm). Lineage: Eukaryota; Metazoa; Arthropoda; Insecta; Lepidoptera; Bombycidae. The record is from RNAcentral.
UAUGGCCAGACUAAGUAUACUCUUAAGC